This 292-nucleotide ribosomal RNA is filed under the name uncultured bacterium. RNAcentral describes it as "partial 16S ribosomal RNA". It matches the Rfam family "Bacterial small subunit ribosomal RNA", at positions 505 to 796 of the family's 1533-position model. The record is from RNAcentral.
GUGUCAGCAGCCGCGGUAAGACGUAGGGGGCGAGCGUUGUCCGGAUUUAUUGGGCGUAAAGCGCGCGUAGGCGGCCCGUUAAGUCGGAUGUGAAAACCCGUGGCUCAACCACGGGCCUGCAUCCGAUACUGGCGGGCUCGAGGCAGGCAGGGGAGAUCGGAAUUCCUGGUGUAGCGGUGAAAUGCGCAGAUAUCAGGAGGAACACCGGUGGCGAAGGCGGAUCUCUGGGCCUGUCCUGACGCUCAGGCGCGAAAGCUAGGGGAGCAAACAGGAUUAGAUACCCUGGUAGUCC